GUGUACCAGUUGUCGUGCCAACGGCAUAGCUGGGUAGCUAUGUGUGGACGGGAUAAGUGCUGAAAGCAUCUAAGCAUGAAGCCCCCCUCAAGAUGAGAUUUCCCAACUUCGGCUAUAAGAUCCCUCAAAGAUGAUGAGGUUAAUAGGUUCGAGGGGGAAGCAUGGUGACAUGUGGAGCUGACGAAUACUAAUCGAUCGAAGACUUAAUCAAAA
This 213-nucleotide ribosomal RNA is filed under the name Staphylococcus aureus. Its description in RNAcentral is "partial 23S ribosomal RNA". It matches the Rfam family "Bacterial large subunit ribosomal RNA", at positions 2712 to 2925 of the family's 2925-position model. The record is from RNAcentral. Lineage: Bacteria; Bacillati; Bacillota; Bacilli; Caryophanales; Staphylococcaceae.